Long non-coding RNA from Haplochromis burtoni (Burton's mouthbrooder), 1971 nucleotides. RefSeq lists it as uncharacterized. NCBI's taxonomy places the organism in Eukaryota, Metazoa, Chordata, Actinopteri, Cichliformes, Cichlidae. The transcript is spliced from 6 exons. The record is from RefSeq and is a predicted model, not a curated record.
CUCUUCGUAUAAGAGAAGCUGAGCCUGCUGACUCUGGACUGUACUACUGUGGUGGAGAACCAGCUGCUUAUCUGAAUGUGACCAAAGGACAGAGAUCUGACAGAGAUAAAGAAACAACAACUACAACAGUUACUCACCAGCCAGCAGUGACACCUGCCCCGUCAGCCAACCGUCACCUGUUUGACUUGGGGAUCCGAGCCCUUGUGGUCUUCGUCUGCAGCCUUGUUCUCGUCAUCAUUUACUUUAUUUGGAGACAAAAGUCCAAAAGACGAGGGACUGACGAACAGCUCCACGCCUGUGAUGAGACACCAGCUGGAGCAGAACAUCUUAUAAAUGGAGCAGCGCCUGCAUCAACAUGCUGACAGACCUGCAGAGCUUCCCAGGAUUUCCCUCCUGACUGGGAUGAUCCUGACUGGGAUGAUCCUGACUGGGAUGGUCCUGACUGGGAUGGUCCUGACUGGGAUGGUCCUGCCUGAGCGUUGAUGCUGCAUGUCUGCUGCUCCCUGGAGCACAGCUUCUAUUUCCACAUUUGUAUGACGCAUGGUUUUAGUGAAGUCACUGUAAAUAAAGGCUGACUGUGAUUCCCCUGACUGUGAGUCCACUUCAGUGUACAUGACAUUGUGAUACCAAUGAUAGCCGACCAGACUGAUAAAGCUGCUGAUAUCAUGGAGGAAGGUAGCUGUGUGGACGGGAAGCAAGGCUGACGCUGGAGAUGGAUGCUAGCUGUUCUUCCAUGGUGCGGAUAGAAAUGGAGUAGGGGAAACCUCGAAGGUGGAGCAGGUGAACAGUGUUGUGGAGGUCAGGAGGGGGUCAGACAGGAUCAUAGCGAGUGGUGAUUGGAGCAGAGCUCUGACAUCCAGGUGCAGGGAACAGAGGUGACGGAGGUGCUGGGUGGGCUUGGAGAGAGAAAUGAAACUGUGAUUGUGAUGAAGGUGCACACAGGUGGGCUACAUCUAACACAGGAAGGGGAAAGUGAAAGCUAGGAGACUGUAAGGUGGUGUCAGGGGAGGAUGUAUACCUGCAGCAUUUAAUGGUAGGAUGACUUUGAAGAAGAGGAGGUGAGUGAAGGUUGAUAGCUAGGUGGUAGCUACAGCAAAGACAAAGGCUGACAGUCACCUUCAUGUGACACUGAGAAAAGAGAUUGUAUCUGAGAGACGAGGAAGGAUUAUGGACCAGGAAGUUCAGAGGAGUAAGGAGGAAGUGAGGGCAGCCAUGAAGAGGAGGAGGCAGCCGGUCCACGUGACAUACCUGUGCAGGUGUGGAGGUAUCAGAGAGAGAGGGCUGUUUAACCCGAUUAUUUAAUGUGAGCUAGAGCGAGGAGGGAUAAACUGAUGAAGAACGACAGCUGUUGUUGAAGCUAUGCUAAGAAGACGUGAGUUUGAAUACCGAGGCCAACCAUCCAAAGCAACUGCACAGGAGAGACCAGCUGUGAUGAUGGGGAGACAGUGGCACUGACACAGCGACAGGAGGCCGAUGCUCAGAUUUUUAGGGAGUCUGACGUGCUGGAUUAAAAGAGUACAUGAGAGAGUCGCCUCAGGUUAAGCUGUUUGGAGACAAAGUUAGAGAGGUUGGGUGGAUUUUAACUGUGAGUCUGACCAAAGCAGCAGAAGAUUUCGACCCCACCAGCCUCCUCAUGCAGACUGUGUGUCAUCCCUAUCAUCCCUCAGAGGCCAGUGUCACCGCUGCUGCUGCUCCGAAUGAUGAGGUCUGUGGUGCAGAAUCACGAGACACAGGCAGCAGCUGACAAAGCAGCAUCACACUGAGCAGGAGACAGCCCUUCAAAGUAAAGCAGGAAGUGCAGUGGGACACAGGGGGAAAUGCAGCCACACUCAUCAAUAUGUGAAACAGUGACUGGUCCGAGUCCUUCAGCCUCACAGUUUGAUUUCUGACACACACACACACACACACACACACACACACAGCUUUAAAAACACAAACCUGUUUGGUUUCCAGCACCAGGACGCUGACCUC